This 1460-nucleotide small RNA is filed under the name Histoplasma capsulatum. RNAcentral describes it as "hypothetical RNA". The record is from RNAcentral. RNAcentral also lists the same sequence under 1 other name. Lineage: Eukaryota; Fungi; Ascomycota; Eurotiomycetes; Onygenales; Ajellomycetaceae.
ACCUGAACCAUAUUGACGAACCAGUUUUGCUGGGUUAAGAACAUUUUCCUUGUUUGUGUUAUCAAAAUGCGCGUGAUGGUUUCUUGAUGCUGACGGUGAACUGCAUCGUCGAACGCACCCUGGCUGAGUCCCCAUUCAUUGGGGUGCUUUGCUUCAACCAUUCCGUAUGUGCAUGACCAGAACUGUUAUGACAGCUUCGUUAGUCCUCCGGACUCCGGCAUAUGUGUGACUGAACGUCCGUGAGCGUCAUCCUACUGGACUUAUUUCCCUGACACUUUCCUCAAGUGCAAAACAUUAGUUUCGCACGGUUCUGAUCCGACAGAAGGAAGACCCUAUGAUCAUGAUCAAACCAUGAGAGAUAUAGUUAGACAAUGGGAGGAGAAGCAACUGCUCAAUUCUCACGACCAAGAAAAUCCAAGCUAAAUAUUUAGCUUUCCUCCUUUCAAUUGGGGUUUAAUCUCUCCAAGCGCAUCGCAUCUUUCAAUCUCGCAACAUCGCUCAACACCUCGCAUGCAGGAUGUCCGAUUGACCCCUCGUUGCUUGGUAUUUGAGUUGUCAGGGAAAGCAUCUUAGCGUCGCAGCACCUUCCUGAUCCUCCAACGCCUGAAUAGAUAUAUUGGCGGCAUUCUUAGAAGAUGGAUCCGUCAUAUGUGGUGUUUCGGACAUUUAUGAAGUGACAUGUAUAUCCGCAAUCUUAUGUAUUUCCUACAUCAAUUGCAGAUACCCCUGACCUUCUCCUGGUAAUGUGAACCAGCCCUCCUGCUUUGAUCCCAUUUUGCCCGUUGAAGACAAAGACAUACCAAUUUCAGCCCACGACACAAUAUCUUCAGCUUCACAGGACAGCCUAGCUCUAGCAGCAGCCCGGAAGGUCAGAUCUUCACCGGAGCAAUGCAAUAUACCUGGUGGCUUCAGAACAGCGGGACGGGAGCAAUCAUGGCAAAAUCGAGCAAUCCCUAUAUUCCUCCUACCAUAUUCCGGAAUUACCACUGGGUCCUUAGUUCACUAAAUAUCUAUAUGAGGGUUUGAUAUCGCUCAUUGAGUGAGGAUGGAGGAUAUCCGUCGUCAGCGGCGAAGUCGUCGUCGUCGUCGUCGUCGUCGUCGUGGAACUCCACCAUGACAAAUUGCAGACGGAGGUCAUAGACAGGUUCAGGGUUAUGGGUGAUGAGAAGGAAUCUCAUGAUUGUGUUAGCAAAUGACGAGGAGUUUGGUGGGCGGCGGGACAUUUUACGUUCUUGGUCUAUUACUUAUUUCGUCAGUGUACAUCAAGACCACUUAGUCAGUGACGUGUUCAGCAUCUCCAAACCCUCACUACGGACCGUCUAGAGGCUGAUAUGGAGCCAUAGGAAUAGACCUUCUCCACGUCGUUCCUGUGGUAUUUGUCGUUGAUGAAUAUGGACUGGUCCUCUCGAGCUAGGUCGUUCGAACCAAAGUAAUCAACGCUGGUAAAACCAUUUGUUGCC